Molecule: non-coding RNA, 73 nt
Organism: Ciona savignyi (Pacific transparent sea squirt)
Lineage: Eukaryota; Metazoa; Chordata; Ascidiacea; Phlebobranchia; Cionidae
Source: Rfam
GCCUCGAUAGCUCAGUCGGGAGAGCAUUAGACUGAAGAUCUAAAGGUCCCUGGUUCAAUCCCGGGUCGAGGCA